This 362-nucleotide RNase P RNA is filed under the name Treponema sp. Its description in RNAcentral is "RNase P RNA component class A". It matches the Rfam family "Bacterial RNase P class A". Rfam says of the family: Ribonuclease P (RNase P) is a ubiquitous endoribonuclease, found in archaea, bacteria and eukarya as well as chloroplasts and mitochondria. Its best characterised activity is the generation of mature 5'-ends of tRNAs by cleaving the 5'-leader elements of precursor-tRNAs. Lineage: Bacteria; Pseudomonadati; Spirochaetota; Spirochaetia; Treponematales; Treponemataceae. The record is from RNAcentral.
UGGAUAUAAAAGAUGACCGCGCGGUCCGGGCUCAUGACAGCCUGUGUCCGUGAGGGAAAGUCCGGGCUCCGCCGGAAGUGAUGCCGGGUAAUAACCGGGGGGCAGGUAAAACUGCCUACAGAAAGUACUACAGAAAAUAACCGCCUGCAUCUCCGUGCGGGUAAGGGUGAAAAGGCAGGGUAAGAGCCUACCGCGCCCCUGGUAACAGGGACGGCACAAGCAAACCUCAUCAGGAGCAAGAUUAUGCAGCGGCUUGGCGUUCCGGCCUUAUGCCGCGGGUGAAUCGCUGGAGCUUCCCGGCAACGGGUGGCGCAGAUAGAUGGUCAUCGAGUCCAAAACCCGGCUUAUUUUAUAUCCUUUUU